UACGUAAGAGGCUAGUGUUAUUCAUCUUAAUUAGGUUUAAAGGGUACUUAGACGGUAGAUAUUUCCCUUUAUACAGGAUAAUUUUACUAGAGUUUUAUGUAAGAAGGUAGUACUUGAGGUGUAGAGUUAAAAAUUCUGUGAUCCCUUGGGGACUGGUAAAGGCGAAGGCAACCUUUUAUGCAAAAACUGACGUUGAAGGACGAAGGCACAGAGCACAAACAGG
Molecule: ribosomal RNA, 223 nt
Filed under: uncultured bacterium
Lineage: Bacteria
Description: partial 16S ribosomal RNA
Rfam family: Bacterial small subunit ribosomal RNA
Source: RNAcentral